AUUGAACGCUGGCGGCAGGCUUAACACAUGCAAGUCGAGCGGAGUGAUGGUGCUUGCACUAUCACUUAGCGGCGGACGGGUGAGUAAUGCUUAGGAAUCUGCCUAUUAGUGGGGGACAACAUCUUGAAAGGGAUGCUAAUACCGCAUACGUCCUACGGGAGAAAGCAGGGGAUCACUUGUGACCUUGCGCUAAUAGAUGAGCCUAAGUCGGAUUAGCUAGUUGGUGGGGUAAAGGCCUACCAAGGCGACGAUCUGUAGCGGGUCUGAGAGGAUGAUCCGCCACACUGGGACUGAGACACGGCCCAGACUCCUACGGGAGGCAGCAGUGGGGAAUAUUGGACAAUGGGGGGAACCCUGAUCCAGCCAUGCCGCGUGUGUGAAGAAGGCCUUAUGGUUGUAAAGCACUUUAAGCGAGGAGGAGGCUCUUUUGGUUAAUACCCAGAAUGAGUGGACGUUACUCGCAGAAUAAGCACCGGCUAACUCUGUGCCAGCCGCCGCUGUAA
RNAcentral lists this ribosomal RNA (503 nucleotides) under uncultured bacterium. Its description in RNAcentral is "partial 16S ribosomal RNA". It matches the Rfam family "Bacterial small subunit ribosomal RNA", at positions 30 to 523 of the family's 1533-position model. The record is from RNAcentral.